This 160-nucleotide ribosomal RNA is filed under the name Sclerotinia sclerotiorum. RNAcentral describes it as "5.8S ribosomal RNA". The stretch from base 30 to 160 matches the Rfam family "5.8S ribosomal RNA", at positions 1 to 131 of the family's 154-position model. Rfam says of the family: 5.8S ribosomal RNA (5.8S rRNA) is a component of the large subunit of the eukaryotic ribosome. It is transcribed by RNA polymerase I as part of the 45S precursor that also contains 18S and 28S rRNA. Functionally, it is thought that 5.8S rRNA may be involved in ribosome translocation. The record is from RNAcentral. Lineage: Eukaryota; Fungi; Ascomycota; Leotiomycetes; Helotiales; Sclerotiniaceae.
AUGUCGUCUGAGUACUAUAUAAUAGUUAAAACUUUCAACAACGGAUCUCUUGGUUCUGGCAUCGAUGAAGAACGCAGCGAAAUGCGAUAAGUAAUGUGAAUUGCAGAAUUCAGUGAAUCAUCGAAUCUUUGAACGCACAUUGCGCCCCUUGGUAUUCCGG